AAGCAGGCUUGAAGAAGCGCUUUAUACUCUCUCCUUUGUACUUCUUCACAAGAUCGUACAUUAUGGACAACACUGCCAAGCAGGUGGUGGUUUCAGCAGCUGGUUUAAUCCCCAUUCAGAACACUCCUCCUCUGAUGUACAGCCGCCCUCGAGUUCUGCAAAGCAAAUUGGACAACUGACGUGUCCGUGUCGGUGCUGUGGGAAACUUUGAAGUCAUAUAUCAGGG
Molecule: long non-coding RNA, 226 nt
Organism: Electrophorus electricus (electric eel)
Lineage: Eukaryota; Metazoa; Chordata; Actinopteri; Gymnotiformes; Gymnotidae
Source: RefSeq, a predicted model, not a curated record